RNAcentral lists this ribosomal RNA (183 nucleotides) under uncultured bacterium. RNAcentral's name for it is "partial 16S ribosomal RNA". It matches the Rfam family "Bacterial small subunit ribosomal RNA", at positions 593 to 775 of the family's 1533-position model. The record is from RNAcentral.
UGUGAAAGGCACGGGCUCAACCCGCAGACGGCACAUGAUACUGCGAGACUUGAGUGAUGGAGAGGGAAGCGGAAUUCGGGGUGUAGCAGUGAAAUGCGUAGAUAUCGAGAGGAACACUCGUGGCGAAGGCGGGUUCCUGGACAUUAACUGACGCUGAGGCACGAAGGCCAGGGGAGCGAAAGG